AUGCUGUUCUCCAGCCUGCUGUGGGGAUUCAUGGCCUUCUUCUUCUCUGGAUCCAGCAUGGCUCAGAAAGUUAUUCAAGACGAGCUAGUCACAGAGAAGCAAGAGGGGGCACUGGUCACCUUGAACUGUCGGUAUGAAACAAGUGAGAGCUUCUACUAUAUAUUUUGGUAUAAGCAGCUGACAAGUGGAAAGCUAAUUUUCCUUAUUAGUCAGUAUUCUUCUGACCAGAAUGCGAAGAAUGGCCGCUAUUCUAUAAACUUCCAGAAAGCCACUAAAUCCAUCAGCCUCACCAUUUCAGACUUACGGCUGGAAGAUUCAGCAAAAUAUUUCUGUGCUUUCUUGGAACUCACGGUGUUUAAAGUAAUGGUAAAAGCUGAACAAAAACCUCAGAGCUCAGUCAGAGAGUCCCCCCCCCAUGCCCUCCCCCACCCCUGA
Molecule: non-coding RNA, 435 nt
Organism: Eptesicus fuscus (big brown bat)
Lineage: Eukaryota; Metazoa; Chordata; Mammalia; Chiroptera; Vespertilionidae
Source: the annotation of a RefSeq genome assembly